Molecule: ribosomal RNA, 605 nt
Filed under: uncultured Desulfobacteraceae bacterium
Lineage: Bacteria; Pseudomonadati; Thermodesulfobacteriota; Desulfobacteria; Desulfobacterales; Desulfobacteraceae
Description: bacterial SSU rRNA
Rfam family: Bacterial small subunit ribosomal RNA
Source: RNAcentral
AACGAACGCUGGCGGCGUACCUAACACAUGCAAGUCGAACGAGAAAUCCGACACUCAGGCAACUGAGUGUUAGAGAGUAAAGUGGCGCACGGGUGAGUAACGCGUGGGUAACCUACCCCUGAAUUUGGAAUAACCCCGCGAAAGCGGGACUAAUACCGGAUGUGGUUCCAUGAGCCUCGGCUUUUGGAAUUAAAGGUGACCUCUUCAUGAAAGUUGCCGUUCAGGGACGGGCCCGCGUACCAUUAGCUUGUUGGUAGGGUAAUGGCCUACCAAGGCUACGAUGGUUAGCUGGUCUGAGAGGAUGAUCAGCCACACUGGAACUGGAACACGGUCCAGACUCCUACGGGAGGCAGCAGUGAGGAAUUUUGCGCAAUGGGGGAAACCCUGACGCAGCAACGCCGCGUGAGCGAAGAAGGCCCUCGGGUCGUAAAGCUCUGUCAAGUGGGAAAAAAGCCUUUCGAUGAAUAGUCGAUAGGUUUGAUGGUACCACUGGAGGAAGCACCGGCUAACUCCGUGCCAGCAGCCGCGGUAAUACGGAGGGUGCAAGCGUUGUUCGGAAUUACUGGCGUAAAGGGCGUGCAGGCGGUUUGGCAAGUCAGAUGUGA